AGAAGCCCAAAGAGACAGUUUAGGGGACAUAAAACAGCAAAAAUGGAUUUAAAGGAAAGCCCAGUCAUUCACACUUAGAAGAAUUCCUGGACUAACAAUUCUAAGCCAAGGCAGCUGCGGCAACGUUGAGGCAGAAUCAAAACCUGGGGAAAGACCUUAGGUAUUCAGAACAAAACAAUCAGCAGGCGGGUCUGCGGCAUUCUAAGAACAGACACUGGCAGGAACAAAGGUUACAGAAGUGAAUGACUCUAAGAAUCAAGCAAGACAUGGAGUGGCAGAAAAUUAAAUUCUGAAUCCCUAAAAGACAUGAUGCAAAGAUGACCUCCUCUCCCAAGGACAUGUCCUCAUCCUGCGCUGACCGUGUGUGGUCAUUUCAGAAAAAGCGAACAAUGGAGAACCUGCUUGAAUGAUACUUAGACCUGGGACAACUGAAAGGAGUUGCACUUAUACAAUUCGGUGCAGUGGAGUCCCCUGGGAGGAGCCCCAGUCACACGGGAAGAGACAGUCACAGCUGUAAUAAAUGAUGGCUAGCAUGUAUCAAGCACUGGCCGAGUCCUCAGCAUACAUUACAUUACAGAAUUCAGUGUGCACCUCAACACUCUGGGGGUGUAUUUUAUAGGAGAACUGUGGCACAAAGAGGGGUUUUGCAAUCCCAAGAAGAGUCAGCGUUUGAAUUUUGAAUUUAUGUGCAAAAGAGACAAAUAUGGCUAAAGGGCAUGGGCACACUCUCUCUGGGUCCCCGUGUUAACGAUUUUAGUAGCUUCUAUUUAAAUGGUGCUCUUUCUCUAAGAAGAUCAUUGGGUAUUUUCUGAAAGCUUACAUAAUGGCUGGAAGCCCCCUGCCUCUGCAAAGGAACACCUGAUUCAGAAAAGUAAACACCAUAACAGCAACCCAUUCAUCAGCUGCCCAGACUCACAACCAAGCAGACAUGCAGCGACUUUCCAAAAACCCUCAUUUCUGGCAUUACAGCCUGUGGCAAUAACAGAGUUAAGGAAAGGUAAGUGAAACUCAGAGAGACACAGUGAGAUAAUUAUUCCUCACGCCUGUUAGAAGAACAUUCCACCGUCUCAGAAGAAGCCCUGUCUGAAUCUGAUUCAGCUGAGAAAACAACUCAGGCCAUGGUAGCUGCACCCAACUCUCUAAAU
Molecule: long non-coding RNA, 1145 nt
Filed under: Homo sapiens (human)
Lineage: Eukaryota; Metazoa; Chordata; Mammalia; Primates; Hominidae
Description: non-protein coding BAALC-AS1:30
Source: RNAcentral